This 203-nucleotide long non-coding RNA is filed under the name Mytilus galloprovincialis (Mediterranean mussel). Lineage: Eukaryota; Metazoa; Mollusca; Bivalvia; Mytilida; Mytilidae. The record is from RNAcentral.
UCCUAAAUACAAGACCUGAGUUUAAACAAUAGGACAAACUUUAAUAAAGUCGAUAAAAAUUGACAGACACAAUCGAAGAUCUGUCGUCAACACUAAGGAAAAAACGUUAAGAGAAAAAUAAAGACAAGGCUCCUUACUUAAGAAUGGUAUAUCAACAUGAAGCUGAUGGUCAAUUAAAGGACGUUUAUGCAAGUAGGUGCAGG